GGGGGGUUGCUCGACAAGCAGUCAUACAUGUUGCAUGACAAAGCAGGUACCUAACCAGCCUGGUGAAACUUCAUUAAGAACCAUCGUGGAGGAACUACAAAUACAGAAAAGGAAGUUGAACCCCAUGUGGCUCAGACAAAGAAUCUUAAAAGGUUAAAUGUUAAGAAACAGCCCUAUUGAAGAUCAAUCAGUAACGAUGAAUCAUUUCUGAUUUUUAUAAUGGAAUUGGCUUUGCGCUGAGCUUUUCAGGAAUGUGAUAUCCAGAGAAAGGAGCAGUUGGAUCUUUUUCAUGUGGAUCUCUAUUGGCAAUGAAGGAGCACAGAUAUGUAGAUACCAAUUACCUGAGUCUAUAAUAGCAAAUGAGGUGAGCUUCUUAGUUCUUUCUCGGUCAAAGCUUGCUAUGAGUGCCAUGGUACUGCCUUCUUCUGAGGCAUCUCUGAAUUGUAGAUGUGUAAUGUUAAGUGCCACCCAGAGCUUUUUAAUGCUGUCUUCACAGCCGGCUAUUUUCAGCUUCAUUCUUCAUGUUUGUUUUAGCUCUCAGACACGUCAACAUGUUCCCCUCAGCAUUACAUAUCAUAAUAUAUCUCUGGAAGUGACAGAAAAAAAUGCUCAUCAAAGAAAUUCCCAUGCAAGAUGAUAAUGCCACAGUUUAAAAUAAAUGCUGUUGUGACUGGUUAA
Long non-coding RNA from Erinaceus europaeus (western European hedgehog), 678 nucleotides. RefSeq lists it as uncharacterized. The transcript has 2 exons. The record is from RefSeq and is a predicted model, not a curated record. Lineage: Eukaryota; Metazoa; Chordata; Mammalia; Eulipotyphla; Erinaceidae.